This 131-nucleotide transfer RNA is filed under the name Aspergillus brasiliensis. RNAcentral's name for it is "tRNA-Asn". Lineage: Eukaryota; Fungi; Ascomycota; Eurotiomycetes; Eurotiales; Aspergillaceae. The record is from RNAcentral.
GUCUCGGUGGCGCAAUUGGUAAGCUUACCCUUCAUCAAAUUCACCCUACCAACCAGUUACUAAUUCAGGAUAAAGGUUAGCGCGUACGACUGUUAAUCGUGAGGUUGAGAGUUCGAUCCUCUCCCGGGACG